GAUGAAGAACGCAGCGAAAUGCGAUAAGUAAUGUGAAUUGCAGAAUUCAGUGAAUCAUCGAAUCUUUGAACGCACCUUGCGCUCCUUGGUAUUCCGAGGAGCAUGCCUGUUUGAGUGUCAUGAAAUCUUCAACCUAUAAGCUUUUGUGGUUUGUAGGCUUGGACUUGGAGGCUUGUCGGCCUUGAUCGGUUGGCUCCUCUUAAAUGCAUUAGCUUGAUUCCUUGCGGAUCGGCUCUCGGUGUGAUAAUAUCUACGCCGCGACCGUGAAGCGUUUGGCGAGCUUCUAACCGUCUCACUUGAGAGACAACUUUAUGACCUCUGACCUCAAAUCAGGUAGGACUACCCGCUGAACUUAAGCAUAUCAAUAAGCGGAGGA
Molecule: unclassified non-coding RNA, 376 nt
Filed under: soil metagenome
Description: partial contains 5.8S ribosomal RNA, internal transcribed spacer 2, and large subunit ribosomal RNA
Rfam family: 5.8S ribosomal RNA (bases 1-120)
Source: RNAcentral